UAAUCACUGUAUGGCUGGGUGGGAUGUGGAACAUUCACUGGUUCCUGUAGUUCUUUGCAAAAACCUAGAAAUCGCAGUGGCUGCAUCUGAGCAAAGCGGUUGCACAGUUCUGGAACUCUCGAUUUUUAAAGGAUACCCAGCUGCCUUAAGGAUGAAGCUUACCACCUUGGGCCACUCUUUCAUCCCAGGACAGCAGGAAAUUUUAAGAAGUUGAUAGAUAUCCCCUCACGAAAUCCUAGAAAUUCUUAGUUGGACAUAAUCCAUAAUUAUGCUAGCUCUACAUCUGAGAAGCUGACCUCUACCGGUUGCAUCAUCUGGACUUCCCUGUGCAUUGGAGGCACCAGCAGGAGGUGGAAGGGCAAGAGGAGAUCUGGGCAUUUAUUCCUCCAUUCCAUCUUUGUUUGCCAUCAUUUUGGUGUUCUGGCAGAGGCUAGGUCAUUCACAGCUAAGGCUUCCACCUAACAACCCUUCUUCUAUGCUCAAGGGGCUCCAGUAAACUCCAUUCCUCCCUUUGUCCUUUCAGGCUCAGGGGUGGGUGGUAAGGGCUACCCCUGUAACUAGUCUCAGAGUACCUCAUCAUUCCUUCUUGAUUGCUUUAACCCUGUGCAUACCUCUCCAACUAAUUCAUUAAUUACAUUAUUUUAGGACAAACAAGUUUCCUGCCAUACUCAAUAAGAUGAGAAGUGUGAAGUGUAUAUAACUGAGAAGUAAGCAAAUGUGAGUUUAAGUUCAUUUAAGAAAAAAAAAAAAUCUCAAAAAUACAACAUCCUACCUUUUCAGGAGUAAAUAUUAUUUUCUAUUUUAAUGAGAAUUUGGACAUUACAGUCCAGGUAGAAGGAUAUGGAUUUACUCUUCUAAAUUCAUCUCUGAAAGAAGAAUUAGUCGGUUUACUAUUGAAAUAAUCUGACAUGUAUUACAUUCUUUUUUGCAUUGCUAAUUGUUGGUUGUAAACUUUUGGAAGCUUUUUGAAAGAAGUCUAUUCGGGAAGCAGGAGGAUUGGCAAUCUUAUAGGUUUUUAAUCUAUAAAAUGCCUAUCCAUGUAUCAUAAUUAAUAAAUACACAGUGCUGAGAAUAUGACACAACACACCUGCUGUGAAAGAAACUGGUUUGCAUUCAGUUUUUCAUCUAGAUGGAGAGGUCUGUCUGACAUACGCUCUUACUUAUCUGUCCUCCUUUCUAAAGUCAGAAGCACAUUUUAUUUCUUACAUAGUGGUUAAAAAAUGACACAUUGGGACAUAUCUACAGGCUGAGGUAUGAGCCAAUUUCUAGGAACUGAAAACCUUUGCCAAAAAAACAAACAAACAAACAACAAAAAAAAAAAAAACAAGAGAGCAGUUCCUCUGCAAAUUCAAAUUGUCUCUGUAUACUGUCAAUGAAAAAUAAUGACUUGCCUUCUGUGCAGCAACCAGGAAGCAAUGUUGUGUGACUCUUCCCUAUUCAGCCCCCAUCCCUCACAAUCCUCCUUCCGCCAACAACCCAAAUUUCAUUCACAUCUAACACUGGAAAAAGCAUGUAGUGAAGAGAUGAGGGGGAGUAAGUAUUGGAAUCCUGUUCUUUGUUGGGGAAAUCUGCAAGCUCUAGCUUUUUCCAUUUGAAUAGCAUUUCAUUUUGCCUAGUUCAGGGUUUGCUGAUUGUUCAUGAUUUCUAGAAAAGCUUGGAUUAAACCUUCUAAUUUCAGCUAAGUUCUUUUUCUGUAGGGCAAGCCCCUAUACUGAAAGUAUAGAAAUGUGGUCAAAAGGAAAACAGCAAAGUAGGAGAAUUGAAGAACAGGAGUUAGGAAACCUGAAGAAAUUAUGUAUUUGAUGAAUUUAACCAGAAUAAUGUUGUAUUAAUCAAGCACCUCUUUUGAUAUCUAUUUUCCUAAUUUUUUACACUCUAUGAUUAUGAUGCACAAAAAACUAAAAUCUUCACCUCCAAAAGAAAUCUUCACCUCUAUUUUCUAUUUCCUUUAUAUUUUUCCAAUAGAAAUGAUACAAAGAUACUCCUUAUUAGCUUGAAACAUGGAUGCCUUUGCGUCCAGAGUGUUCUUUUUAUUUGAUUCAUGUGGAAAGAAAAGCAAAAGUUGGUUAUUUCUCCAACAUGGAAUUUCUGACUUUGAUUUACAUAUGUUACUUGUUCAGCCAGGGCUUCCCAAUUCAUUAACUAUUACUACUUGAUUUUAAAUAACAGUGAGAAAUCUAUUCUGAAAAAGUAAACUAUUGAGAGGUCUGUGUGUGUAUACACAUACUCAUAGAUCUCCACAAUUAUUUAUAACCUUGAUCGAUAUGUCUUAAAAACUUGUUCAUUGUUUAAAAAUAUAGAGAAUUUGGAGUUCCCAUCAUG
Non-coding RNA from Sus scrofa (pig), 2322 nucleotides. Lineage: Eukaryota; Metazoa; Chordata; Mammalia; Artiodactyla; Suidae. The record is from RefSeq and is a predicted model, not a curated record.